AUUCAGUGAAUCAUCGAAUCUUUGAACGCAUCUUGUGCUCCUUGGUAUUCCGAGGAGCAUGCCUGUUUGAGUGUCAUUA
Molecule: ribosomal RNA, 79 nt
Filed under: Pseudosperma occidentale
Lineage: Eukaryota; Fungi; Basidiomycota; Agaricomycetes; Agaricales; Inocybaceae
Description: partial 5.8S ribosomal RNA
Rfam family: 5.8S ribosomal RNA
About the family: 5.8S ribosomal RNA (5.8S rRNA) is a component of the large subunit of the eukaryotic ribosome.
Source: RNAcentral